AGGGAAAAGCUCAAAUUUAAAAUCUGUUAGGUUUACCUAACCGAGUUGUAAUUUGAAGAAGCGUUUUCGGUGUUUAUUGGUUGGCCUAAAUCCCUUGGAAUGGGGUAUCAUGGAGGGUGAGAAUCCCGUACGGCUAAUCAUUACGCUUUACGAUACGCUUUCUAA
This 165-nucleotide ribosomal RNA is filed under the name Glomus sp. Its description in RNAcentral is "partial large subunit ribosomal RNA". It matches the Rfam family "Eukaryotic large subunit ribosomal RNA", at positions 99 to 261 of the family's 3401-position model. The record is from RNAcentral. Lineage: Eukaryota; Fungi; Glomeromycota; Glomeromycetes; Glomerales; Glomeraceae.